GAACAGCUGGCGGCGCGCUUAACACAUGCAAGUCGAGCGAGAACCAGACCUUCGGGUCUGGGGACAGCGGCGAACGGGUGAGUAACACGUGGGUAAUCAACCCUCGGUACUGGGAUAGCCCGGGGAAACCCGGAUUAAUACCGGAUGGCCCUUUGGAUCUUCGGUUCUGAAGGAAAAGGUAGCUUCGGCCUCCGACCGAGGACGAGCCCGCGGCGGAUUAGCUUGUUGGUGGGGUAACGGCCUACCAAGGCGGCGAUCCGUAGCUGGUCUGAGAGGACGAUCAGCCACACUGGGACUGAGACACGGCCCAGACUCCUACGGGAGGCAGCAGUGGGGAAUCUUGCGCUAAUGCGGGAAACCGUGACGCAGCGACGCCGCGUGAGGGAAGAAGGCCUUCGGGUUGUAAACCUCUUUCAGGAGGGACGAAGCUACUCGGGUUAAUAGCCCAGAGGGUGACGGUACCUCCAGAAGAAGCCCCGGCUAACUACGUGCCAGCAGCCGCGGUAAUACGUAGGGGGCAAGCGUUGUCCGGAUUUAUUGGGCGUAAAGAGCGUGUAGGCGGCUUUGCAAGUCCGUUGUGAAAACUCGAGGCUCAACCUCGAGACGCCGGUGGAAACUGCAAAGCUAGAGUCCGGAAGAGGAGAGUGGAAUUCCUGGUGUAGCGGUGAAAUGCGCAGAUAUCAGGAGGAACACCCGUGGCGAAAGCGGCUCUCUGGGACGGUACUGACGCUGAGACGCGAAAGCGUGGGGAGCAAACAGGAUUA
RNAcentral lists this ribosomal RNA (764 nucleotides) under uncultured earthworm cast bacterium. RNAcentral describes it as "bacterial SSU rRNA". It matches the Rfam family "Bacterial small subunit ribosomal RNA", at positions 31 to 780 of the family's 1533-position model. The record is from RNAcentral.